GACGAACGCUGGCGGCGUGCUUAACACAUGCAAGUCGAACGGAAAGGCCCUGCUUUUGUGGGGUGCUCGAGUGGCGAACGGGUGAGUAACACGUGAGUAACCUGCCCUUGACUUUGGGAUAACUUCAGGAAACUGGGGCUAAUACCGGAUAGGAGCUCCUGCUGCAUGGUGGGGGUUGGAAAGUUUCGGCGGUUGGGGAUGGACUCGCGGCUUAUCAGCUUGUUGGUGGGGUAGUGGCUUACCAAGGCUUUGACGGGUAGCCGGCCUGAGAGGGUGACCGGCCACAUUGGGACUGAGAUACGGCCCAGACUCCUACGGGAGGCAGCAGUGGGGAAUAUUGCACAAUGGGCGGAAGCCUGAUGCAGCAACGCCGCGUGCGGGAUGACGGCCUUCGGGUUGUAAACCGCUUUCGCCUGUGACGAAGCGUGAGGGACGGUAAUGGGUAAAGAAACACCGGCGAACUACGU
Molecule: ribosomal RNA, 467 nt
Filed under: uncultured bacterium
Lineage: Bacteria
Description: partial 16S ribosomal RNA
Rfam family: Bacterial small subunit ribosomal RNA
Source: RNAcentral